CGAGUCUUGUUUUAAUUAUAGGUAUUUUUUUGCUAGAGUACGUAAGGAAAAGGAAAGGUUAACCGCUGUCAAAAAUAAAAACU
This 83-nucleotide ribosomal RNA is filed under the name Eimeria sp. Its description in RNAcentral is "large subunit ribosomal RNA". The record is from RNAcentral. Lineage: Eukaryota; Apicomplexa; Conoidasida; Eucoccidiorida; Eimeriidae.